RNAcentral lists this ribosomal RNA (497 nucleotides) under uncultured bacterium. RNAcentral describes it as "partial 16S ribosomal RNA". It matches the Rfam family "Bacterial small subunit ribosomal RNA", at positions 28 to 507 of the family's 1533-position model. The record is from RNAcentral.
GACGAACGCUGGCGGCGUGCCUAAUACAUGCAAGUCGAACGCUGAAGCUUGGUGCUUGCACCGAGCGGAUGAGUUGCGAACGGGUGAGUAACGCGUAGGUAACCUGCCUGGUAGCGGGGGAUAACUAUUGGAAACGAUAGCUAAUACCGCAUAAUAGUAGAUGUUGCAUGACAUUUGCUUAAAAGGUGCAAUUGCAUCACUACCAGAUGGACCUGCGUUGUAUUAGCUAGUUGGUGAGGUAACGGCUCACCAAGGCAACGAUACAUAGCCGACCUGAGAGGGUGAUCGGCCACACUGGGACUGAGACACGGCCCAGACUCCUACGGGAGGCAGCAGUAGGGAAUCUUCGGCAAUGGACGGAAGUCUGACCGAGCAACGCCGCGGGAGUGAAGAAGGUUUUCGGAUCGUAAAGCUCUGUUGUAAGAGAAGAACGAGUGUGAGAGUGGAAAGUUCACACUGUGACGGUAGCUUACCAGAAAGGGACGGCUAACUACGUG